This 436-nucleotide ribosomal RNA is filed under the name Microsporidia sp. RNAcentral's name for it is "SSU rRNA". It matches the Rfam family "Eukaryotic small subunit ribosomal RNA", at positions 1341 to 1791 of the family's 1831-position model. The record is from RNAcentral. Lineage: Eukaryota; Fungi; Microsporidia.
CCUUAACCUGCUAAAUAGAUGUGUUUGAAUCAUUCACUUGAUUCUCAUCAUCUUCUUAGAGGGACUUGCUACGUUUAGUGGCAGGAAGUUUGAGGCAAUAACAGGUCUGUGAUGCCCUUAGAUGUUCUGGGCUGCACGCGCGCUACACUGACAAAGUCAACAAGUAUACAACCUUGGUCGGAAGACCUGGGCAAUCUUUUCAAACUUUGUCGUGCUGGGGAUAGAUCAUUGCAAUUAUUGAUCUUCAACGAGGAAUUCCUAGUAAGCGCAAGUCAUCAGCUUGCGUUGAUUACGUCCCUGCCCUUUGUACACACCGCCCGUCGCUACUACCGAUUGAAUGGCUUAGUGAGGCCUUUGGAUUAGGAUGAUCAGGUCGCAAGAUUUAUCAUCCUCGAGAAAUUGGACAAACUUGGUCAUUUAGAGGAAGUAAAAGUCG